GGUUCCAUGGUCUAGUGGUCAGGACAUUGGACUCUGAAUCCAGUAACCCGAGUUCAAAUCUCCGGUGGAACCU
This 73-nucleotide transfer RNA is filed under the name Ipomoea nil (Japanese morning glory). It matches the Rfam family "tRNA". From Rfam's summary of the family: Transfer RNA (tRNA) molecules are approximately 80 nucleotides in length. Their secondary structure includes four short double-helical elements and three loops (D, anti-codon, and T loops). The record is from Rfam by way of RNAcentral. Lineage: Eukaryota; Viridiplantae; Streptophyta; Magnoliopsida; Solanales; Convolvulaceae.